RNAcentral lists this ribosomal RNA (411 nucleotides) under uncultured archaeon. RNAcentral describes it as "bacterial SSU rRNA". It matches the Rfam family "Archaeal small subunit ribosomal RNA", at positions 895 to 1312 of the family's 1478-position model. The record is from RNAcentral.
CUGCGGCUCAAUUGGAGUCAACGCCUGGAAUCUUACCGGGGGAGACCGCAGUAUGACGGCCAGCUUACGACCUUGCCUGACUCGCGGAGAGGAGGUGCAUGGCCGUCGCCAGCUCGUGUUGUGAAAUGUCCUGUUAAGUCAGGCAACGAGCGAGACCCCCACUCCUAGUUGGUAUUACGGUCUCCGGACCGUGACCACACUAGGAGGACUGCCGCCGUAAGGCGGAGGAAGGAGGGGGCCACGGCAGGUCAGCAUGCCCCGAAACUCCCGGGCCGCACGCGGGUUACAAUGGCAGGGACAACGGGAAGCUACCUCGAAAGGGGGAGCCAAUCCCUAAACCUGCCGCAGUUGGGAUCGAGGGCUGAAACCCGCCCUCGUGAACGAGGAUCCCUAUAACCGCGGGUCAACAAC